Molecule: long non-coding RNA, 313 nt
Organism: Girardinichthys multiradiatus
Lineage: Eukaryota; Metazoa; Chordata; Actinopteri; Cyprinodontiformes; Goodeidae
Exons: 3
Source: RefSeq, a predicted model, not a curated record
GCUUGCGAUUCUGCUGUCUUAACAUUUCAGUCUGAGUGUUGAUUGCUCUACAUACUCCAUCCAACAUCGCAGGAAGCUUUGGAACGCUAUGAACAGCCACCCACGUUUUGCGAAUCACUCGAUAAGCCAGGUCCCGAGGAAACACAGGAACCAGGUACAAAGUAACAGACAAACAGGAGCACCCAGCAAAGAAGGAAUGGAAACCAGGUGUUAUACAGCGGAGAUGUAAUGACUUAAAUGUAAACCAGGGGAGACAAGCGCGCUGAUGUCUCUUUGCUGGCAAACAGACAUAAACUCUUCAACUGGAUCCAAG